This 7211-nucleotide long non-coding RNA is filed under the name Brachypodium distachyon (stiff brome). Its description in RNAcentral is "long non-coding RNA (BDIS_LNC004743)". Lineage: Eukaryota; Viridiplantae; Streptophyta; Magnoliopsida; Poales; Poaceae. The record is from RNAcentral.
AAUGUUAGGUUCGUUGCAUAGGAAACAAAAAAUUUCCUACGAGAAGUGCGGAAGAAAACCCAAGAAUAUAUAUACUAGAUGUAUGUAACGAGAGGGAUCAUGAACACCAUACCCUCGUAGACCGCUAAGCGUUACGAUCACGAGAUCGUUGUUGGUGUAGUGGAACUUUCAAUGAGAUCGAUCUCAGUGCCGAACGGACAGCACCUCCUUGGUAUCCACACGUUCAGCUUCACGUUGUCUCCUCCUUCCUCGAUCCAGCAAGCGAGAGGGAGAGGUAGACGAGAUCCCGGCAGCACGACGGCGUGGUGACUAUGGUGAAUAUUCUCACAGGCAGGGCUACGCCGUGCGCGUGAGAAGAGGAGGAGAGGAGGGCUCAGGGGAGAGAGAUCCAACUGAAAGCUUGGGGUGUCUCUCUCCCUUGCCCCCCUUUCUAUUUAUAUAGGGGUAGAGGAGGCGUGGCCGGCCAGGACUAUCCCGUGGCCAGGACUCUCCGGCGGCCAGGACUCUCAUGCGGCCAGGACUCUCCCGCGGCCAGGACUCUCCUCCUGGCCGCAUGGGCCCUGUGGGCUAGCCCCUCGGCCCAUUAAGGCCAGGGUGCUCCCUCACAGGCCCAUUUAGCCCAGGGAUAGGUGGGCCUCAAGGUGGAACCCUCCGGAUCCCUCCGGAACCUUCUAGAAGCUUCCCGGUCAAAACCGGGAAAUAUUCCAAACUUUCCAGAACCCUGAAAACAACUUUCCAUAUAUAAAUCUUUAUCUCCGGAACAUUCCGGAGCUCCUCGUUGCGUCUAGGAUCCCAUCCAAGACUCCGAAUCAUAAUUCGAUAUCAUCAUCAUUUAUCUCAUCUAACCCAAGCAACAUGAAACGUUAAGUGUGUGACCCUACGGGUUCGAGAACAUGUGGACAUGAUCAAAUAUCAAUAACCAAUAGCGGGACCUGGAUGUCCAUAACAGUUCCCACAUAUUCCACGAAGAUCUCAUCGGUUGAACCACUAUGUCGAGGAUUCAAUUAAUCCAGUAUCCAAUUCUCUUUGUCUCGCGAUAUAUUACUUGCCCGAGAUUUGAUCGUCGGUAUCGCCAUACCUAGUUUAAUCUCGUUACCGGCAAGUUCUCUUUACUCGUUCCGUAAUAUAAUACCCCCGCAACUAAACACAUUAGUCGCAUGCUUGCAAGCUCAUUAGGAUGUUAUAUUACCGAGAGGGCCCAGAGAUAUCUCUCCGUCACAAGGAGUGACAAAUCCCAGUCUUGAUCCAUACAACCCAACAAGCACCUUCUGGGAUACCUGAAAAACACCUUUAUGAUCACCCAGUUACGAGAUGACGGUUGAUGCCCACAAAGUAUUCUUCCGGUACUAGGGAGUGGCAUGAUCUCAUGGUCUAAAAAAAUAAUACUUGACAUAAUAAAACAUAAGCAACUUAAACUUAAGUGACACGAUCAAAAGCUAUGUUUAGGUUUGGGUCUGUCCAUCACAUCAUUCUCGUAAUGAUAUGAUCUCGUUAUUAAAUGACAACACAUGUCUAUGGUUAGGAAACCUUAACCAUCUUUAAUCAACGAGCUAAUCUAGUGGAGGCGUAUUAGGGACACGGUAUUUGUUUAUUUAUCCACACAUGUAUUUGAGUUUCCAAUCAAUACAAUUAUAGCAUGGGCAAUAAACAUUUAUCAAGAACAAUGAAAUAUGAUAAUAACAAAUUUAUUAUUGCCUUUAGGGCAUAUUUCCAACAGUCUUCCACUUGCACUAGAGUCAAUAAUCUAGUUUACAUUGUAAUAAAUCUAACACCCAUGGAGUCUUGGUGUUGAUCAUGUUUUGCUCGUGGAAGAGGUUUAGUCAACGGGUCUGCGACAUUCAGAUCCGUAUGUACUUUGCAAAUCUUUAUGUCACCAUCCUUGACAUAUUCACGAAUAGUGUGAAACCGGCGUUUAAUAUGCUUGGAAUUCUUGUGAGACCUCGGCUCCUUGGCGUUGGCUAUGGCACCAGUGUUGUCACAAUAGAUGUCCAUGGGAUCCAACGCACUCGGAACCACACCAAGUUCAGAUAUGAACUCCUUCAUCCAAACUCCUUCCUGUGCCGCUUCUGAAGCAGCCACAUAUUCCGCUUCAGUUGUUGAUGCUGCCACAACGCUCUGCUUGGAACUCCUCCAGCUAACUGCACCACCAUUCAAAAUAAAUACGUAUCCGGAUUGAGACUUAGAGUCAGCCGGAUCAGUGUCAAAACUAGCAUCGACGUAACCCUUUACGACGAGCUGUUCGUCACCUCCAUAAACGAGAAACAUUUCUUUAGUCCUUUUUAGGUACUUAAGGAUAUUCUUAACUGCUGUCCAGUGUUCCACUCCUGGAUCACUUUGGUACCUGCUAGUCAAAAUAACAGCAUGACACACGUCUGGUCUAGUACACAGCAUGGCAUACAUAAUAGAGCCUAUGGCUGAGGCAUAGGGGAUACUAUUCAUCUUUUCUCUAUCUUCUGCCGAAGCUGGACACUGAGUGUUACUCAAUAUCUUACCUUGCAACAUGGGCAAGAACCCUUUCUUUGCUUGAUCCAUUUUGAACCUUUUCAAAACUUUGUCAAGGUAUGUACUUUGUGUAAGUCCUAUCAGGCGUCUUGAUCUAUCUCUAUAAAUCUUGAUGCCUAAUAUGUAAGCUGCUUCACCAAGGUCUUUCAUUGAAAAACUUUUAUUCAAAUAGCCUUUAACACUUUUAAGAAGUUCUAUAUCAUUCCCAAUCAGCAAUAUGUCAUCCACAUACAGUAUUAGAAAUGCUACAGAGCUCCCACUCACUUUCUUGUAAAUACAAGCUUCUCCGUGAGUUUGGACAAAUCCAAACCCUUUGAUCACCUUAUCAAAACGGAGAUUCCAACUCCGAGAUGCUUGCUUCAGCCCAUAAAUGGAACGCUGAAGUUUGCAUACCUUAUUAGCAUCCUUAGGAUUGACAAAACCUUUGGGCUGAAUAUGUAUAACUCUUCCUCAAUGUGACCAUUAAGGAACGCGGUUUUGACAUCCAUCUGCCAGAUUUCGUAAUCGAAAAAUGCAGCAAUUGCUAACAUAAUCCGAACAGACUUUAGCAUCGCUACGGGUGAGAAAGUCUCAUCGUAGUCAACUCCUUGAAUUUGUCGAAAACCUUUUGCGACAAGUCGAGCUUUAUAGACGGUAACAUUUCCAUCAGCAUCUGUUUUCUUCUUGAAAAUCCAUUUGUUCUCAACGGCCUUUCGGUCAUUCAGUAAGUCUACCAAAGUCCAUACUUGGUUUUCAUACAUGGAUCCCAUUUCGGAUUUCAUGGCUUCUAACCAUUUUUCGGAGUCUGGGCUCAUCAUCGCUUCCUCAUAAUUCGCAGGUUCAUCGUUGUCCAACAACAUGACAUUCAUGACACGAACAUUGUACCACUCAGGAGUAUUACGUGUUCUCGUCGACCUGCGAAGUUCAGUAGUUGUCUCAUUCAAAACUUCAUGAUCAUUAUCAUUAGCUUCCUCUCUAGCUGAUGCAGGAUGCACGGGAACAGUUUCUGGUGCUGCGCUACACUCAAAUUCGAGAGAAGGUUCAAUAACCUCAUCGAGCUCUACCUUCCUCCCACUCACUUCUUUCGAGAGAAACUCCUUCUCUAGAAAGGACCCGUUCUUAGCGACAAACACUUUUCCUUCGGAUUUGUGAUAGAAGGUGUACCCAAUUGUUUCUUUAGGGUAUCCUAUGAAGACGCAUUUUUCCGACUUGGGUUCGAGCUUAUCAGGUUGUAGCCUUUUUACAUAAGCUUCGCAUCCCCAAACUGUAAGAAAGGACAGCUUAGGUUUCUUGCCAAACCAUAAUUCAUACGGUGUCGUUUCAACGGAUUUAGAUGGUGCCCUAUUUAAAGUGAAUGCGGCUGUCUCUAAUGCAUAACCCCAAAACGACAGUGGCAAAUCAGUAAGAGACAUCAUAGACCGUACCAUAUCCAAUAAAGUACGAUUACGACGUUCGGACACACCAUUGCGUUGUGGUGUUCCAGGCGGCGUAAGUUGUGAAACAAUUCCACAUUGUCUUAAAUGCGUGCCAAACUCGUAACUCAAAUAUUCACCUCCACGAUCCGAUCGUAGAAAUUUAAUUUUCUUGUUACGAUGAUUCUCCACUUCAUUCUGAAAUUCCUUGAAUUUUUCAAAUGUCUCAGACUUGUUUUUCAUUAAGUAAAUAUACCCAUAUCUACUCAAGUCAUCUGUGAAGGUUAGGAAGUAACGAUAUCCACCGCACGUUGUAACACUCAUUGGUCCGCACACAUCAGUAUGUAUGAUCUCCAACAAGUCACUGGCCCGUUCCAUUAUGCCUGAAAACGGGGUUCUAGUCAUCUUACCCAUGAGGCAUGGUUCACAUGUAUCAAAUGAUUCAAAAUCAAGUGAUUCAAGUAGUCCAUCAGAAUGGAGUUUCUUCAUGCGUUUUAUACCAAUAUGACCUAGACGGCAGUGCCACAAAUAUGUUGAACUAUCAUUAUCCACUUUGCACCUUUUGGCAUUAACAUUAUGAAUAUGUGUGUCACUACUAUCGAGACUUAAUAGAAAUAAACCAUUCACAAGUGGUGCAUGACCAUAAAAGAUAUUACUCAUAUAAAUCGAACAACCAUUAUUCUCUGAUUUAAAUGAAUAACCGUCUUGCAUUAAACAAGAUCCUGAUAUAAUGUUCAUGCUCAACGCAGGCACCAAAUAACAAUUACUAAGGUUUAAAACUAAUCCCGAAGAUAAAUGUAGAGGGAGCGUGCCGACGGCGAUCACAUCAACUUUUGAUCCAUUCCCGACGCGCAUAGUCACCUCAUCUCUUGCUAGUCUUCGUUUAUUCUGUAGCUCCUGUUUCGAGUUACAAAUGUGAGCAACUGAACCAGUAUCAAAUACCCAGGUGCUACUACGAGUACUAGUAAGGUACACAUCAAUAACAUGUAUAUCAAAUAUACCUUUGACGUUGCCAGCCUUCUUAUCUGCCAAGUACUUGGGGCAGUUACGCUUCCAGUGGCCAGUCCCCUUGCAGUAGAAGCACUCAGUAUCCGGCUUAGGUCCAGAUUUGGGCUUCUUCGCGGGAGUGGCAACAGUUUUGCCACCCUUCUUGAAAUUUCCCUUCUUACCCUUUGCCUUCUUGAAACUGGUGGUCUUAUUGACCAUCAACACUUGAUGCUCCUUUUUGAUUUCCACCUCCGCAGUUUUUAACAUCGCGAGGAGCUGAGGAAGUGUCCUAUCCAUCCCUUGCAUAUUGUAGUUCACCACAAAACUUUUAUAGCUAGGUGGUAGUGACUGAAGAACCCGGUCAAUGCCUAAUUCAUUAGGAAUCUCAAUUCCCAGUUGUCUCAGGCGGUCGGCGUACCCAGACAUUCUGAGCACGUGCUCGCUAACGGAGCUGUUCUCCUCCAUCUUGCAGUUAAAGAACCUUUCGGAGGCAUCAUACCUCUCCGCACGGGCUUGGGUCUGAAAUAAAGUAUUCAGUUCCCCAAUCAUAGCAUAUGCCGAGUGGUGCUCAAAACGCUUUUGGAGCUCAGGUUCCAUACCAAGCAAGAGGCCGCACCUAACUACAUUGUGGUCCUCAGAUUGAGUCAGCCAAACGUUCCUAACGUCAGCAGACUCAGUUGCUGCGGGUUCUGCACCAAGCGCUGCAUCAAAAACAUAAGCUUUUUUGGCAGCUUCGAGGAUAAUCCUCACAUUCCGGAACCAGUCCGUAAAGUUACUUCCAUUAGACUUCAGUUUAUCUUUCUCUAGGAGAGUAUUCAUAUUGAACGUAGUACGAGCCAUUGAUCUACAGCAUAUUUGCAAAGGCAAUUAGACUAAGUUCAUGAUAAUAAGUUCAAGCUAAUCAAAUUACUAAUGAACUCCCACUAAAAUCAACAUCCCUCGGGUUGUUUAGUGACACAUGAUCCAAAUCCACUACACCAAGUCCGAUCAUCACGUGAGAUGGAGUAGCUUCAAUGGUAAACAUCAGCAUGUUGAUCACAUCAUUCAUAUGACUCAUGUUUAACCUUUCGGUUCCUUGUGUUCCGAGGCCAUGUCUGUACAUGCUAGGCUCGUCAAGUUAACCAAAGUAUUCCUGCAUGUGUAAAACUGGCUUACACCCGUUGUAUGCGAACGUAGAGUUUAUAACACCCGAUCAUCACGUGGUGCUUCAAAACGACGAACUUUUGCAACGGUGCAUACUAAGGGAGAACACAUUAUUAUCUUGAUAUUAACAAUGAGGGAUCAUCUUAUAAUGCUACCGUCAACUAAGCAAAAUAAGAUGCAUAAAAGGGAUAAACAUCACAUGCAUAAAUAAUGUGACAUGAUAUGGCCUUCUCUUCGUGUGCCUUUGAUCUCCAUCUCCAAAGCACGGGCAUGAUCUCCAUCAUCACCAGCAUGGCGCCUAGGUCCUCGGGCGUCAUGUAUAGUUGCCUCCACCAACUAUUGCUACUACGACUAUUGCUACUACUAGCGAUAAAGUAAAGCAAUUACAUGGCGAUUAAAUCAUUGACACGAAGGUCAUACAAUAAUUAAUGAGACAACCAUACGGCUCCUGCCGGUUGCCAAACUCAUCGACAUGCAAGUCGUGAAAUAUUACAAAACAUGAUCAUCUCAUACAUCAAAUAUAUUAUAUCAUAUCUUGGCCAUACCACAUCACAUGCCCCUGCAAAAACAAGUUAGACGCUUCUACUUUGUUGUUGCAUGUUUUACGUGGCUUUAGGGGCUGCACUAAAAGAACCGUUCUUACUUACGCAAAAGCCACAACGGUGAUAUACAAAUUGCUUAUUAACCAUAUAGGCCUCCCAUUGCAAAUCAGAUUUCAACUAUAGUGGGAGAGACAGACACCCGCCAGCCGCCUUAUGCAAUACAAGUUGCAUGUUAAUUGCGGAACCGGUCUCUUGUGCGAAGACAAGUAAGGUUGGUCCGAGUCGCUUCAUCCCACUAUCCCGCAAAAUCCGAUAGUGCACAAAGGAGGUAGCAAUAUGAACAUCAACGCCCACAACUAAAUUGUGUUCUACUCGUACAAAACAUCUACGCAUAGAUCUAGCUUUGAUACCACUGUUAGGUUCGUUGCAUAGGAAACAAAAAAUUUCCUACGAGAAGUGCGGAAGAAAACCCAAGAAUAUAUAUACUAGAUGUAUGUAACGAGAGGGAUCAUGAACACCAUACCCUCGUAGACCGCUAAGCGUUACGAUCACGAGAUCGUUGUUGGUGUAGUGGAACUUUCAAUGAGAUCGAUCUCAGUGCCGAACGGACAGCACCUCCUUGGUAUCCACACGUUCAGCUUCACGU